Molecule: long non-coding RNA, 351 nt
Organism: Culicoides brevitarsis
Lineage: Eukaryota; Metazoa; Arthropoda; Insecta; Diptera; Ceratopogonidae
Exons: 3
Source: RefSeq, a predicted model, not a curated record
UGGAUCGCUAUUUCAAUACAAAAACUUUUUUAAGUAAAUUCAAUGAAAAAUCGCAUAAAUUUACUAAUUUUCAAGUACUUUUACGAUAUUUUGAUAUUUUAAAAGAUUAUCCACAAUGUGCCAAAAACCGCAAAAAUGACGCUAUCAUGGAUUUGGCGAAGGAAAUUGCUGCAAUUGGGAAAAAAGAUGUAGCGAAUAUCAGAAAAAAGUUUUUAGCAUUGCUCAAAAAAUAUGUAACUCAAAAGAUUAAUGCACGGCGAAAUCCAGAUUGUGCCACAAAAUUUGUGAAAGAACAAGAAAAAAUUGUUUUUGUUGUUCGUGUAUCUCCACCGGAUCAAUUAGGAGAUGCUG